This 253-nucleotide ribosomal RNA is filed under the name uncultured bacterium. Its description in RNAcentral is "partial 16S ribosomal RNA". It matches the Rfam family "Bacterial small subunit ribosomal RNA", at positions 524 to 776 of the family's 1533-position model. The record is from RNAcentral.
GACAGAGGGUGCAAACGUUGUUCGGAAUUACUGGGCGUAAAGCGCGUGUAGGCGGCCCUGCAAGUCGGAUGUGAAAUCCCACGGCUCAACCGUGGAAGUGCAUUCGAAACUGCAGGGCUAGAGUCCUGGAGAGGAAGGUGGAAUGCUUGGUGUAGAGGUGAAAUUCGUAGAUAUCUGGAGGAAUACCGGUGGCGAAGGCGGCAUCCUGGACCGACAUUGACGCUGAGGAGCGAAAGCUAGGGGAGCAAACGGG